CGAUGCUCAGGGCAAACCCGUCGCGAGGCGGGGACGCAAAGCCACGGAACCCCCAGGGUCAGCCGGGCCACCAGA
This 75-nucleotide non-coding RNA is filed under the name Deinococcus soli (ex Cha et al. 2016). Its description in RNAcentral is "Deinococcus soli c-di-GMP sequence". It matches the Rfam family "c-di-GMP-I riboswitch aptamer". From Rfam's summary of the family: GEMM was predicted in a large-scale screen for bacterial structured RNA regulatory elements. Genes associated with GEMM are involved in a diverse array of functions, including chemotaxis regulation, signal transduction, secretion and chitin. The record is from Rfam by way of RNAcentral. Lineage: Bacteria; Thermotogati; Deinococcota; Deinococci; Deinococcales; Deinococcaceae.